This is a small nuclear RNA of Jaculus jaculus (lesser Egyptian jerboa), 104 nucleotides long. The record is from RefSeq and is a predicted model, not a curated record. Lineage: Eukaryota; Metazoa; Chordata; Mammalia; Rodentia; Dipodidae.
UGGCAGCACAUAUACUAAAAUUGGAAAAUUGGAACAAUACAGAGAAGAUAAGCGUGCCCCUGCGCAAGGAUGACAAGCAAAUUUGUGAAGCGUUCCAUAUUUUU